Hippocampus comes (tiger tail seahorse) is the source of this 1318-nucleotide long non-coding RNA. RefSeq lists it as uncharacterized. The transcript is spliced from 2 exons. The record is from RefSeq and is a predicted model, not a curated record. Lineage: Eukaryota; Metazoa; Chordata; Actinopteri; Syngnathiformes; Syngnathidae.
CUCAGCACUGGAUUCCGAAGGACUUAAGAAGCCGAGCGGGCCGGUCGUUGACUUUUCAAUCGGGAGGACAGGAAAGCACGGCCACCGCAACGAGGCAUUAGUGGAGGUCCGCACGGCUCGUGGUCUGAUUUUAUUGAAAGUCAUGUUAGUCAUAAACAGUCCAUGUUCCUUUGGAUCGAUGCUCGGGAACAAUAUAACGGACAAGAGUUACACCCAUGCAAGCAGCCAGAACGCAAGAGGGAGACGGUUUGCCCAUUGCUGUUUUGCGUCUGCAUUUCUUUUCAUUUGCGCGCGCCCAUCUGGAGGCAACAUGUCAAGUUCUGAAUGAUCUCUGUCAGGGCUGAAGUUCAAAAUCAAUGCAUUUCAUCACAACGGUGUUCGAAAUGCGAUUUUUUUUUUUUUUUUUUUUUUGUUUUUUUUUUUUAAAUAUGACUUUUGUUUGAUUUUUUUUCUACCUGUUCAAUGUCAUUCCUAUUCAUCACCAGUGAACGUUUCCAACUUUAAAUAUUCUUAGACAGGUAAAAACCCUUGAGACGCAAUGUAAAAAAAAGAAAAAUUCUGGACAAAUUGAAAUUGGGAAGAAUUAAAACAAUAUUAAGGCAACAGUAAAUUUACGCUAUGGCAAAAAAAAAAAAAAAAAAAAACUCCUGACAAUGUUGUGACAGGACUAAUUCGACCAAAAUUUAUGCUGCUGUACAGACAAGCUAUUUUUACUAUCAACCACUGCAUUAUCAAAUUAAUGUUACCAUGUAAACCUGCUGUUAAAAAAAAAUAAGAAGAGAGAGAAAUUAUAUUUUGUUAUUUUUGCAUUGUUCGAAAUACCUGAUGUGAACACAUCUCCUGCGUCCAUAUGUUGGAAUAUGUCGAACACUUUCUUGGUAAUGUUGGAAAAAAUAAAUCGUUAGUCGUCGUCAUAUCAAAUUGAAGCUACCACAGAGACGAGAAUCAAUCUGAAGGAAGUCUGUUUUAUUUUUUGGUUUUUUUUUUUGUCAAUUCUGCCUGUUGAUGAUCCUGCUAUCGAACGGCAUUUGGUUAUCAAAAAGAAUUGGAUCCUUUAUGUAUGAAAUGACCGUGAGGAAUAAAAGUUGGCUUCCAUUUUUUUUGUUUGCGUGUUUGUGUGUGUAAUAUGUCAUCGCUGGUUUCAUGAAAAGCCGUGGAAUUGACGAUUAUUGACACAUUUACGUUUUCCCAUAAAACGUCACCGUGUUGGGUCAGAGGAUGUGAAGAGACACUGUCCUCCGUAUGAAAUGGUGAGGUUCUUCUAGCCUUAGUUUCUCAAUUGCACACUGUGGCCGGCCUUUGCAAAAAAAAAAAAAAA